AUGUCUACUAUCCAAUGUAAUUCGUGUGCUUAUAUGAUUACCUUGAAUGUGAUUUGGAACGACUUCCUAAAUCUCAUUCAUACUCUAGCCAGAGAUUCUUAAUCAUAUCAUAGAGUAUUCUCCCCCAAACGGUUUGAAGGUUAGAGAUCCCUUGUUGCGCAUUCACUUGCCUCCAUGGCUAAGUGGCUUAACCCCAACUAUGCCAUGGACACCCUCCUUUUGGAGUGACUUUUGACAUAAUCAAAGAUCAAGGACUUAACCACAAGACAACUAUGAUGCCUCAGGUCAAAGGACUACUUUGCAUUAUCCCAACCAUGAGUUCUCAUGUGACAUGAAUAUGAGAAAUCUUCGUUGAUCGUGUUCAGUGAACUCAUUCUCUAUUGAGCACCUACGUACUUGUCUUGAUGUCACACACACCA
This 419-nucleotide long non-coding RNA is filed under the name Malus domestica (apple). RNAcentral describes it as "long non-coding RNA (MDOM_LNC004306)". The record is from RNAcentral. Lineage: Eukaryota; Viridiplantae; Streptophyta; Magnoliopsida; Rosales; Rosaceae.